RNAcentral lists this ribosomal RNA (260 nucleotides) under Centipeda infelix. Its description in RNAcentral is "Selenomonas infelix partial 16S ribosomal RNA". The record is from RNAcentral. Lineage: Bacteria; Bacillati; Bacillota; Negativicutes; Selenomonadales; Selenomonadaceae.
AGUAGCCGGGCUUAUUCUGAGGUACCGUCAUUAUAUUAGANNAUNAUAANUUUAUACGUNCAUAAAAACUNNUUAACUUGNUNANGAGUAGCCGGGCUUCCUCGAUAGGUACCGUCAUUGCAAAGGAUUAUUCACCCUUCGCACGUUCGUCCCCAUCAACAGAGCUUUACGAUCCGAAGACCUUCUUCACUCACGCGGCGUUGCUCCGUCAGGCUUGCGCCCAUUGCGGAAGAUUCCCCACUGCUGCCUCCCGUAGGAGU